CCAGCGCUCGGGGGAAGGGGGCCUCGGGGGCCAGGGAGUAGUCGACGGACAGGAUGGGGACGCCCAGCUCCUGGGCCCAGCUCUUGAGGUCAUAGGAGAUGAGCCUGACGAGGACCGGCCCGGGGCCCGAGUGGGCCAGAGGAGUGCUCCCCGAAGGACACCAGCCCGAUGGAGAUGGUCUGCAGGAACGGCCGGAUGGCGGGCGUGAACUGUGGAGAGAUGCCGCUGGGUCACCCACUGCCCAGGAGGGACUGGAGGCGGGCAGGGGUGAGGGGCAGAGACGUGGUUUGGGGACAGACGUGGUCAUCCAGCAAACAUUUAGUGAGCUCCUACUGUGUGCCAGGCACUGCUCUAGGCGACAGGAAGCAAAUAAAGGCAUAUGUUCGAUGUUAA
Molecule: long non-coding RNA, 393 nt
Organism: Callorhinus ursinus (northern fur seal)
Lineage: Eukaryota; Metazoa; Chordata; Mammalia; Carnivora; Otariidae
Source: RefSeq, a predicted model, not a curated record